GUCAUAUUUAUAAUAUUAUCGAUUGAUUACAUUAUUGAUUUGACUAAGAAAACAAGAAAAUAAUAAGAAUGACGAUAAAGGAAAAAUAAUCUUCCGUCCGGGUUAUAAAAAUUCAAAUCAAGUUUCUAAAUGAUUGAAGGAAAAUAAUGAUGUUAUUUUUAAUUUUUUUUAAUGUCAUUCCUGACAUGAUUUUUUUAACAUUAUCAAAAUAGGUCAUGUUCCUAAACAAAAUAAGCUAAUGUAGUGGUCAGUUUUAAACAAAGUGCUAUAGAGGGGUUCUAUGAGUCUAUUCUUUCAAAGAUGAUCAUUGCUACAAAAUAUAAUGAUACAUACAUAUGGAGUAAAGAAAUUUACAAGUCUCAUUCAUAUAUGAUAAUGUACUACUCUGUACAGAGCCCCAAACUAAAACAAAAGAUAGGGAAGCAAAAAGUUAAGAACAAUAAGUGGAAACCUAAAAUAUGAUGGGUGACCUUAUCAACAUUUUCUUCCAAUACAUAUUUCACAUAACCAAACCAUUAUCUCCAGCACAAGCAACAUAGUUUAGUGUAGUCAGUUCUAUUCAAAAUCUAUUAUUUGUUGUACAACGGAUUUCAGCUUCAAAAGGCAUUUGAGUCGUCAAAGGUGAAUUCCCCAUGUAAGCACAUCUGGUUCUGCAUGUAGACAUAAACAUUUAAGUUCCGAUUCACUUGCCCCUGGCCACGUAUCUGCGAAAAUGGAAAUCCAUUUUGCAUAUCUUGCAAGUCAUGACUGACAGGGCCAUUUCGGUUUAGGCUGAUGUUCCGACUUCUGACCUAUCCACGUUAUCACAUCUUCUGACAAACUGGUCAAGAGUUCUCUGCCUUGAAGGGCUAUGCUCAAUAGUAGUAUGCUUUGCAGGGCUACUCAAUGGCUGAUUAUUUGGCACAACUAAGGUGUUCUCAUGGCCAUCUAAACAUCUGAUUUUUCAAUAACUGAAAUUCAGAAUGGUUUCUCAAAAACAUCAAAAAGUAACUCUCAAAUACUACUUGAGUAUAAAUCUUGACAAAAUAUGAAUAUAAACCAGAAUGGAAACCUUGUAGCUAAGCAUUAUGUACAUUUUGCAUUACAUAUGAUAGUUCAAGAAGAUGUAGAAAUGUACCUGCCCCAAAUUAUCCAGUUUGAAUUGCACCACAUCCCUAUGAUGUAAAAAUUUAUAUCAUCAAUGCAUAAUAAAUGUUAAGUCAAUGCUAUACCAAACAGCGAAAGACUGCAGAAAUAACAGAACCUACCAUAUGAUGUCGUGAACCGUAUCAUUUGCCAACAAUUAGUAUAUAUUUACUGAUGAGACCUGCAAACAAGAACUAACUAGUCAUAAAAACAGAAGAGCACAUGUUGUCUUUGCUACUCAAAAAUUUAGAUGUGAGAGUUCUUUUCAUUUGAGAUUAUCUGUUUUCUUAAUGUUGUCAUGCAACUAGUAACAACUCUCUCCUUUCUACUUAAUGAGUGUGAGAAUACCAGGCCAAUUCUAUGAGCACGAUCUUUGGCCUGAAUCAGGUCACCUGGAGUCCAGGAUUGUUCUGCAAAGCUUGCAGCAGUUAAAGUUAAUCCAACUCCCCCAGCUUUAACGGAUAGCUGCAUGAUAACGUGUCACAUGAAAUCAUUAUCACAAAUACUAACCCAUACAACAGAAAAGAUGCUUAUAACGGAAACAAUUGGAAGAAAUGCACAACGAAAAAUACCACCAUACCACAGCCGCUUUGAUAUAAUCCUUUUCCUAAAAAUCUAACCAAUUGUUGCCUUCAUGCACCGGGUGUACCUCCAUCAAUCCGGAUGCAACCCACUUUUUUCUUCUGGAAAUUUUCAACAGUUUUUUAAGUGUCUAUAAUUUCCAAUAUAAAAAAAAAAAUGAGUAAAAUUGAAAUGGUCUUACAAGAAGGCACUCAUGUAUCGCAUCUAUCAUUGGCUGAUGGUGCGCAAAUAUAAAAAACUUGCAACCUGCCUGCAGUGAUCACAACAUAUUACACGUGAUAACCACCACUAGCCCAUAUGAAAUAGAAAGAUGGAAGCAAGAGAAAAAAAAUUGAAGCAAUCAAACUUUCAAAUUAAGCAUACACAAUGAUUUGGGGCGACAGGAAGAUGGAUGAAAUAUAAGAAUUAACACAUAGUCUAGUUUACAGUUCGUGUUUGUUUUGGUCACCACUCAGACCAGCCAACGUUGAAACCAAUAAUAAUUGUGGCAUACGUAUUAAAAUGUCAUAUGCUGACAUUUUCACUACACUGUUCGGCCAAUUUAAUUCAUUCAACUUAUGGUCCUACAUUAAGGGGCACCGACUGCAAUAAAAGCAAUAAGAAAAGACCAAUUUAACCAACAUUGAACAUAUUUUAAACUAUUGGAUGAUAAAAAACCAUGCAUCAUGGAAGCACACCAAUCAAAGGAGAUGGCAGGGAAACUAGAGAAGUUGAGAACCUAACUUGACUUUCUUAUAGUACAUACAGGUGCAGUCACUAAUUAUAUAUCAUGAUUCAGUUUUGAUCAUAUACCAGUCAAAAUGAUUUAAACUACUCCAAUAUUGGCCAAGGCCUGAGAAAAUGUUGCAGUAAAAACUAUAGACCUAUCAUAGUUCUAGGUAAUAAGAAAAACUUCCAAACAAAUUGUACAAGUCAAGAUUAUGUUCAGGGCUUCGUCCAUGCAAACCUUGUUAAUCAGAUUCUUUUGAGUAAAUUUAAGAGAUUCAGACUCAUCUUUUGAUUUGGGAGACUUAAUUUUGUCUUUUACCACCUCCAACUGCAGUAUAAAAAAGAGAAACCAAUAUUGAUUAGAUUUUACCACCUCAGACGCAAACCAAAUAUGGAGAGCACAUAUUACCAUUUCCAAGUCAAAUAACCUAAUUUUAGAAAGAAAACUUACCACAAUCUUACCAAUAAAAAUUGGUGAGCAAAUUUUUGAACCAUUUUCAAAGUGGAAGUUUUAGUAAAAUACUCAUAAUCUAAACAACAAUCACAUAGUUCAAAUAAAUGAAAUCCACAGUCCACUUUUUUGAAUAUCAAUAACCCUAUAAAAUGUAAAUAGAAAAUAAUUUUAUAUGCCCAAAAUAAGCAUGUUGUCAAGACAUACAAGAAUUAUGUUCCAUAACUAACAUAAAUAACCAGAAUAUUGUCAAGACAUACAAGAAUUCUGUUUCACAACUAGUUCAAACAUAAAUAACCAGAACUGCAUGAUGCUAUACUAGUCUCGAGAUAUAGAUGCAAAACACACAGAGAUACCUUUCUUUUGCAUUCCAAGAAGAUCUAGGGAUUCUCCGAAAAGCAGAAAUUAUUACCUGCCAUGAAACAUAGCCUAUAAAGAAUGAGUAUGCAGGAACUUGUUCAAGGCCAAAGACAUAGCCCCUAAUUAUGGAAAAUUCAAAUUUUUCGAUAGAAAUAUAAAAUACAAUACUCUUGAUGAAGUUAGCAUGUGAAACCUGGUCAUAUUGGAAUUUCACCGCAACAUGCCCACUGAAAUGAAGAAAAAGUUUGACCGAAAACUUCGGCAGUUCUUUAGAAGGCUCAUCUGGUUAUAUAUAAAGCCACAUAUUCAGCUUGUUUUCAGAGUUAUUACCACUUCCUGAACACAUAUUCAGCUUGUUUAGAAGCCACUUGAACCCCUUGGCAGCUUCAAUUCCAACUAUGAUGGAAAAUCCAACAAGAAAUAAGCCUGGGAAACCACAUUUGCAAAACAAACCCACUCAAUAAUGCUAAAUGCUAAUCAUCCUGCAAUCUUAUUUCCAUCAUGUCAAAUGAGAGAAUGUCAUUUAAUUCUGCUGAAGUUUGCAAAAUUGUUUAGAGAUGAUUCACUCAUUUUUUUCCCUAAAUCUUUACCCUAUGUUAUGUGACAUCCUAGACAAAAGAAAGUUCUAUAUAUGUUUAUUGUUAUGUAAUCCUUGUUCAGAUGGCCAUAAAUCCUGAAAUGUUCACACGCUAGUAUAGUUCAGCAACCACGAACCAAAUCUUAACAACUGUUCUCAAAGAAUCCAAAAUUCCAACCAUACAAAAAGAAAGGCAAAAGAAAUAAAGGAUGAUCAAGGGGAGAGAAUGAAACAUGCACUAUUCAACCAACAACCAGACAGUAGCAACUGAGAAUAAGUUACAUGGCUAGAAAAGUAAAUGCCAAAUUCAACUGAAGAUGCCAGUCUAGGGCAGUAUCAAAGCAAUUUGCUUAAAUGGCAUAGAUUUAGAUACACCAUCCACCCACCUCCGGCACAUGGAAAUAGAGCAUAUGCACUUGAAAAUUUUUAAUGAUUUCUUACAUAUGUGCAGUGACACAAUUUUAUUAAUUUGUUUGUUAUAGUCUUUAGUCUCAUUGACCACAACGGAAAUAGAAGGCCAUAUGCAUGUCCACACACAUAAAAUCUCAAGCAAUAACGUCAAUUUGGGAAAAAUAUUCAAAAUCAGUCUCCAAAAAUUACUACAGCUGUAAAUAUGAUCCAAAAGCAAUAACGUGAAAUCAGUGAUCCAAGUAAAUAUUAGAAUCAUCGAUCAACAAGGGGCUUAUUCAAAUCAACUACAAAGUUCUGUGCCAUCAUCUUGGUAUUGAAUAUGGACAGAGGAUUUGGGUUGAAAUUCAGACGAGGGUUGAAGUUUGGGAGGAUUUGGUUUUGAAACUAAGAGAAACUAAGCACUUCGAAAAAAAAAAUUAAGAAAAACAGAGAAUUGAAAAAGAGAGUGAAAGCAUACUUUCUCUUUUUUCUCCAAACCUCAAACCCUCUUCUUUCCACCAGUAGUGCACCUCUUGUGCAAAGAAUUCCUAGAAAUACCUGAAACACAACAAACAAACGCAUUAGAUACGGUAUUGCAAUUGAAUUCUGUGAAAGCAUAAAAAAAUUUGGCAGGUGCCGUGGAAGCUCCACUGGGAAAGGGCUUCUUCUUCUUCUUCCUUUUUUCCAAAAGAUAAUUUGUUUCUUCUUCAAGAUUAAGUUGGUACAACUUCUUUGAAUCAAUUAUUAUAAAAUGAACAAUUUUAAGAGAAUUAUUACAAUGAUUUUACCGACAAUGAUUUACAACAACAUUUAGAUCAGAAACAAAGUGAAUUAAUUGGUUAGCAAUUCAACAUCAUCUCAAAAUACAAGGAGAAAGAAAAUCUGGAAAAGACAGAACAGGGGAAGCCGACGAUGCAGGGACUCACCAACUGACUACGGUCUACGGCUACGGCAAGGUCCCAAAACCAGAAGACGACGAGGAUCCCAGGAAAGGCCGCGACACGUGGAGACGCCGGCGAGUGUGACUGAGACGAGAUUCGAGUGAGACUGAAAGAGACGAGUGGGCUAGUGUGAGAGAGAAGAGAGAGUUUCAGUCAGAAUUGAGAGAGACGUUAUAUUUGAGAGAGAUGUAAGAAAACCCAGGAAAGAUAAAGAACACUAGAACAGUUAUUUUGAAUUUUUUUUUGUUUUUUAGAUAUGUUCUUUUUUUUUUUGUAUGAAUGAACAUCAGAAAUUAAGGUUUAUAAAGGAGUGUAAGCAUUGACUGUACAUCAAUAAUCAAUCAGAUGUUGUUUUAUUUUUAAAUUAUUUAAAUUUAUAAAUAUAAGUUAGCUCAAUUUUAAAAUUUGAUUAAUUUAAAGAGAUAAAUUUUGUCCAACACAAAGAAAAGGAUUUUAGGUCUUUUUAUAAAAUUAAAUAAAAAAAUACUAUGCGCAGUCAGGUUGCAGGUUGCAGCGAUAUUGGCGUGGGAUGCAUCCGACAGGCUAUGGGAUACAGCGACGCGGGAUGAGAUUGUGGCGGCGUGCACGGACAGCGGCCGAACGGCGUUAGGAAAAACGGCAGUGUUUGAUGUAUCGAAAUAACCGUCUCCAGUACCGACGACGAGUUUUGGGAGUGGACCUAGACCGAUUCAAGAUAUAAUUUAUCGAUUUUUUGGCCAAAUUAAUUUAUUUAAUCUAAUUUUGAUAAAAAUAACAUAGUUUCAUCAAUUAUAUAUAUUAAAUUUUAAUUAUUUAAAAAUAUUCCUUUUAAACGUAUUUGAGUGACUUUCCCAACAAAUAUAUUUUAUCCUUUUUUAAUUCCUUUUUGCAUGGAGCAAGAAGCCCCUAUCCUCAUGUGCAGGCAUUUCACUGAGGGACCUCACAGCCUUUAACUUUCCAGUGCUUUCCUAGCUUUUUGCUGCCGCAGCACCACCGAUCUCGUUAGAUCGGAGAGAGUGAUGGCGGAAUUGGAUGCUGCUGAAUCAGAAAAACGACAAACGGAGCAGGUUGAAAUGGCGAAGGAAGCGUGCCUUUGCCUUGUGUCGUAUGAAAAGUUGUUCGUGAUCAAACUAAGCAAUUUAAAGAAACAAGAAGUUGAUGUCAAAGAUUGGACUUGUUUGCCUCCACCACUGUUCGAUUUCGAGUUGAAACUUCCAGAGCCUGAUUUGUGUCCUUUCGAGUUCGACUCCAAGAUCUAUAUGGCAGUGUCCUCGGAGCCGGGUAGACUUGGGAUUGCGAGGAUCUCCUGGCCAAUCUACGAAUUCAAAUUUGGGGAGCGCAGAAUUGAGCGUGCAGAAUCACUGGAUGAUGCACCGCUCCCUUUUCACGAAGCAUUCAUCGCAAACACGCCAGGCUCAGGCGAUGUUUACUUCUAUAUGGAAUCACAGGUCAAAGAUUCAUCUGGCUCUUACGUCCUUUGUUCUGGAUCUAGAGUUUGGAAACCGUUAAUCGCUCCUCCUACUGUCAGCGACUCAAUUCGAUAUAGCAUGUUCGUCGUCGACAACAACCUCUUUUUUUCAUCGAGGGAAAGGGGAAGGGGAAGAGACACCUGUUUGGCCCGCUUCGACCCCAUAAAAGAGAAUUGGACGACCGAACCCGCCUCUGUUAACAAUCUUUCGAACUUCAUAAAGGAUAGGCUCAUUACCGGUGAUAACUACGGUCUUAUUACUUAUCACCCACACAUUUCUGUGUCCCUUCCGGGUCUUGGCAGCAGCAACUACACCGUUUGCCUUACAAAUGAAUAUGUGUUGGAACCUCCUAAGGAACCUUUAGACAAGGUCUUUGCCAUUCUCGUUAACCACCAGAAUGGCCGUGUCGCAUUAUAUCAAUACCUUGAUGUAUGUUUUGAGGGUAUUCAACCCACUGUGGCAGAAUUGGGCAGAUUCAAUUUGAUUGACCUUGGCAACGGGAAGCUGUGUGCAAUACUCUCUGGGGGUCUAGUUUAUUCCAAAUCUAAUUCAUCUGUGCUCUGCUUCUCAGUUUUCACACUGUCCGUGGACUUUGCAGCAUUGCAAUUUGACAGUGGGGCUCCUCCCAUGGAGCGAGAUUUCUUACAAGUGACGGUCCAUAGGAAGAGUGUCUUCACCAUGGAGGACUGUGGGCUUACUAAUCAUAUGCGCCAUGCGUUUGUUUGGCCACCUACUAAGGGAGGAAGAUUUCAGCACAGGACAACUAUGUCAUAGUAACAUUUCUUGUUAUUUCUUGUGGCUUGUUAUUAUCCUUAGUCGUUUUCAAUAGGAUUACCAAUGAACAAUGAAUUAAAUAUUAAUGUCUUUCAGUAAUAUAAUCUUGGUUGAAUUGUGUCUAUAUUCUCUUUUGCUCGUCAUACAAAAUUACCUGUGCUUUCUGAGAUAUUUGCAUUAUUGCUGCUGAUCAUAUUAAAUGAUCAACUCACUGCUUUCUAUUUCAAAAUACAUGAUGCAUUUUAAAUAAUUAAUUGAACUAAUAGUCCACACGUAUUAUGUCAAAAGAAACAUGUUUCACAUAAAAUUAGAAUGACUCUUGUUUGAAAAAAUUAGUUUAAAAAUUUGAUUUGAGUCAUUUAUAAUAUUGUCGAUUGAUUAUAUUAUUGAUUAGAUUAAGAAAAUAAGAAAAUAAAAAGAAUGUCCAAGUUACAAAAAUUCAAAUCAAGUUUCUAAAUGAUUGAAGGGAAAUAAUGAUGUUAUUUUUAGUUUUUUUUUUAAUGUCAUUCCUGACAUGAUUUUUUUAUUUAUAUGUUUGUAACUUUGUAUAAAUUUAAGGGAAAAAGUAACAUUAUCAGAAUAGGUCAUGUUCCUAAACAAAAUAAGCUAAUGUGGUGGUCAGUUUUAAUGGAAGUGCUAUAGAGGGGUUCUAUGAGUCUAUUCUUUCAAAGAUGAUCAUUGCUACAAAAUAUAAUGAUACAUGCAUAUGGAGUAAAGAAAUUUACAAGUCUCAUUCAUAUAUGAUAAUGUACUACUCUGUACAGAGCCCCAAACUAAAACAAAAGACAGGGAAGCAAAAAGUUAAGAACAAGAAGUGGAAACCUAAAAUCUGAUGGGUGACUUUAUCAACAUUUUCUUCCAAUACAUAUUUCACAUAACCAAACCAUUAUCUCCAGCACAAGCAACAUAGUUUAGUGUAGUCAGUUCUAUUCAAAAUCUAUUAUUUGUUGUACAAUGAAUUUCAGCUUCAAAAGGCAUUUGAGUCAUCAAAGGUGAAUUCCCCAUGUAAGCACAUCUGGUUCUGCAUGUAGACAUAAACAUUUAAGUUCCAAUUCACUUGCCCCUGGCCACGUAUCUGUGAAAAUGGAAAUCCAUUUUGCAUCUUGCAAGUCAUGACUGACAGGGCCGUUUCGGUUCAGGCUGAUGUUCCGACUUCUGACCUAUCCACGUUAUCACAUCUUCUAACAAACUGGUCAAGAGUUCUCUGCCUUGAAGGGCUAUGCUCAAUAGUAGUAUGCUUUGCAGGGCUACUCAAUGGCUGAUUAUUUGGCACAACUAAGGUGUUCUCAUGGCCAUCUAACAUCUGAUUUUUCAAUAACUAAAAUUCACAAUGGUUUCUCAAAAACAUCAAAAAGUAACUCUCAAAUACUACUUGAGUAUAAAUCUUGACAAAUAUAAAUAUAAACCAGAUUAGAAACCUUGAAACUAAGCGUUAUGUAUAUUUUGCAUUACAUAU
RNAcentral lists this long non-coding RNA (8812 nucleotides) under Arachis ipaensis. RNAcentral's name for it is "long non-coding RNA (AIPA_LNC000192)". Lineage: Eukaryota; Viridiplantae; Streptophyta; Magnoliopsida; Fabales; Fabaceae. The record is from RNAcentral.